RNAcentral lists this ribosomal RNA (378 nucleotides) under Triticum aestivum (bread wheat). RNAcentral's name for it is "partial small subunit ribosomal RNA". The record is from RNAcentral. Lineage: Eukaryota; Viridiplantae; Streptophyta; Magnoliopsida; Poales; Poaceae.
AUGGAUCACAAUCUUAAGAUUAUCUUCUGGAAUGUGCACGGCUUAAACUCCGGUGCUAAACGUACGACCGUCCGCAACGUGAUCUCCGCUGCUCCCCCCACCAUUUUGUGCUUGCAAGAAACUAAACUUGCCCACAUCUCAGACUCCAUGGUCCUCGACACCCUCGGACCUUCUUUUGAGGACUUCUUCUACCUCCCAGCCUCUGGCACACGCGGUGGCGUGGUCCUCGCUUGGCACAGAUCGCAAGUCUCCCUCUCUAACUCUCUGAUUGGAGAACAUCAUAUCACUGCCCUUGUUACCCCCAUCAGCGGCAGCGGGCAUUGGUGGCUCACCGGCGUGUAUGGCCCCAGGACAAAGAGGCAAAGCUUGACUUCUUAG